This 253-nucleotide ribosomal RNA is filed under the name uncultured bacterium. RNAcentral describes it as "partial 16S ribosomal RNA". It matches the Rfam family "Bacterial small subunit ribosomal RNA", at positions 524 to 776 of the family's 1533-position model. The record is from RNAcentral.
CACGUAGGGUGCGAGCGUUGCUCGGAAUUAUUGGGCGUAAAGCGCACGUAGGCGGUUUGUUAAGUCGGAUGUGAAAUCCCUCGGCUCAACUGAGGAAGUGCAUCCGAAACUGGCAGGCUUGAGUACUAAAGAGGGUCGCGGAAUUCCCGGUGUAGAGGUGAAAUUCGUAGAUAUCGGGAGGAACACCGGUGGCGAAGGCGGCGACCUGGGUAGAUACUGACGCUGAGGUGCGAAAGCGUGGGGAGCAAACAGG